GCAUGUAGCAAACUGUCCUCCCUUUCACUCGGCAGAGUUCAGCCAUCAUUCUGUCAUUCCUCGUCAUCCAGAGAAGCAAUUGCACUUCUGUUUUAAUACUGAACAUCCUGUCAUUAUCAAAGAUAACCAUGUCCACUGGGGAAGGUGUAAACCUCCUUAAAUCAAGUGCAUGAGGAUUUAUCUGGAAAGAACAAUAAGCAAAAGAACUUCUCCGUGUACAGAAUGGCUGAUUAACUUUCAGGCAUCUGCGAGAACAAUUCUGCCAAAAAUUAAUCACAGCCUGCAAAACCUGGGCCAUCUUGAUCUGAUGCAAGCUACAGAAUCUUUUCCAAAAAAGUAACUUCAUCCAUUUGGCUCCAGAAAACACUUCGGAAAAGGCACAUUUUGCCAUUAAUCAGCACUGCCAGACAUCUGAACUCACUUUUCAAAUGCUGAUGCUAAUUGCUGCCUACAGAUGGCAGUGAACCUUCAGGAUUAAGAAGAAUGAACUGCCAGGAAUGGAAGAGCUGAAACACCACUUCUAUUCCUAUUUUUAUUUUACUCUGUCUUUUUUCAAAGUGCUGUGAUUCAGCUUUUUUUCUUCUUCACAUUAGCCGCUGAUGGAUUCUGAAAGCUUGGUACUUUUGCACAAAAAGGGGAACAGUACAAUGUGCAGUACCAGAACAAAAGUAUAAACAAUUCAGCAAUAUGGCUUUCUCUUGAAUAACGUCAGAGAAUAAUAAUGUCUUAUACCAUUAAAGGGAUAUUAUUCUUUUUUAAAAGCCUGAAAAUGAAAUCAUGAUUUUAAUUUCCCUACUAGCUUGGGCAUCACAAUCAUGUUGUUUAUAUAUCUACACUCUUAAUCAGAUUCCAGCUGUCACCUACUAUGAUUGAUGCACUCCAUUUUCUUCCAUAUAAAUAAAUUGUUCAUUCAUAAUCA
RNAcentral lists this long non-coding RNA (919 nucleotides) under Pogona vitticeps (central bearded dragon). RNAcentral describes it as "lncRNA (ENSPVIG00000010409.1)". Lineage: Eukaryota; Metazoa; Chordata; Lepidosauria; Squamata; Agamidae. The record is from RNAcentral.